AUGUUGCCGAGGCUGGUCUUGAACUCCUGGCUGCAAGUGAUCCUCCGUCCUCAGCCUCCCAAAUCACUGGGAAUACAGGCGUGAGUCACCAUGCCCUGGGAGGUGUUCUUUACAGACUGUUCCUCAGCAAGGAGAGGGUACAAGAAAGGGGCCCUUAGCACAGCAUUCAGGCCCAGGUGUCUGCUGGGCCUUCUUCUGCCACUUCUAACUCAUGUACUGGCACCUGCACUGUAAUGAUUUGUGUCUAUCUCACUGAGAGCGUGGGAAGUCCCUGAGUGCCGAGACUGGGACUCCUUCCUCAUUCUGUUUCUCAGCGCUUCACACAGGGUCUGCAAACAGUAGACAUUCCACAAUGCUGCUCCCAGUAGCCUUUCCUCUCCCCCAACUUGUACCUAAGUCAGAGUUCAUAUGGGUCCAGCAUUUUUUAGCUGGCAGAGCAGGUUCCCAUAUAUUAAUGCAUGUGGUGCUCACCAAAGCCCUGUGUCAAAAGUGUCAUCGCUGUCAUCAGCAUCACCUGCCAGAAACUGCACAGCACGGUGGUUUCAGCAUGUGGGCUCUGUAGCUGGACUGCUCAGAUUCAAGUCCUGUCCUUACCACUUACGGGCUG
Chlorocebus sabaeus (green monkey) is the source of this 607-nucleotide non-coding RNA. NCBI's taxonomy places the organism in Eukaryota, Metazoa, Chordata, Mammalia, Primates, Cercopithecidae. The record is from RefSeq and is a predicted model, not a curated record.